This is a non-coding RNA of Veillonella sp. CAG:933, 147 nucleotides long. NCBI's taxonomy places the organism in Bacteria, Bacillati, Bacillota, Negativicutes, Veillonellales, Veillonellaceae. The record is from Rfam.
UAAUCUAUUCAAGGACUGCCGAAGACAGUAGGUGUGCGAUGCACGUAAGGACAGAAUACAAGGACGCCUACCGAGGGAUGAUCGAUACAAAAUGUAUGAUUUGCAAACCUCUAUUGUCUUAGGAUAUAGAGGUUUUAUUUUAUAUCU